This 253-nucleotide ribosomal RNA is filed under the name uncultured bacterium. RNAcentral's name for it is "partial 16S ribosomal RNA". It matches the Rfam family "Bacterial small subunit ribosomal RNA", at positions 524 to 776 of the family's 1533-position model. The record is from RNAcentral.
UACAGAGGGUGCAAGCGUUGUUCGGAAUUAUUGGGCGUAAAGAGCUCGUAGGCGGUCUGUCGCGUCGAAUGUGAAAACCCGGGGCUCAACUCCGGGCUUGCAUUCGAUACGGGCAGGCUAGAGUUCGGUAGGGGAGUCUGGAAUUCCUGGUGUAGCGGUGAAAUGCGCAGAUAUCAGGAGGAACACCGGUGGCGAAGGCGGGACUCUGGGCCGAUACUGACGCUGAGGAGCGAAAGCGUGGGGAGCGAACAGG